UACGGAGGGUGCAAGCGUUAUCCGGAAUCACUGGGUUUAAAGGGUGCGUAGGCGGCGUUAUAAGUCAGAGGUGAAAGGCCACCGCUUAACGGUGGGACUGCCUUUGAUACUGUAGUGCUUGAAUAAGGUUGAGGUUAGCGGAAUGUGACAUGUAGCGGUGAAAUGCAUAGAUAUGUCAUAGAACACCAAUUGCGAAGGCAGCUGGCUAGACCUUUAUUGACGCUGAGGCACGAAAGCGUGGGGAGCGAACAGG
Molecule: ribosomal RNA, 253 nt
Filed under: uncultured bacterium
Lineage: Bacteria
Description: partial 16S ribosomal RNA
Rfam family: Bacterial small subunit ribosomal RNA
Source: RNAcentral